UACGGAGGGGGCAAGCGUUGUUCGGAAUUACUGGGCGUAAAGGGCGCGUAGGCGGAAGAUCAAGUCAGGGGUGAAAGGCCUGGGCUCAACCCGGGAACUGCCUUUGAAACUGGUUUUCUAGAGUACGGGAGAGGAUGGCGGAAUUCCCAGUGUAGAGGUGAAAUUCGUAGAUAUUGGGAAGAACACCGGUGGCGAAGGCGGCCAUCUGGCCCGGUACUGACGCUAAGGCGCGAAAGCGUGGGGAGCAAACAGG
RNAcentral lists this ribosomal RNA (253 nucleotides) under uncultured bacterium. RNAcentral describes it as "partial 16S ribosomal RNA". It matches the Rfam family "Bacterial small subunit ribosomal RNA", at positions 524 to 776 of the family's 1533-position model. The record is from RNAcentral.